AUGAUGGUAGUUCAAUUGGUCAGAUCACCGCCCUGUCAAGGCAGAAGUUGCGGGUUCUAUCCCCGUCAAUCCCA
This 74-nucleotide transfer RNA is filed under the name Solanum lycopersicum (tomato). It matches the Rfam family "tRNA". Rfam says of the family: Transfer RNA (tRNA) molecules are approximately 80 nucleotides in length. Lineage: Eukaryota; Viridiplantae; Streptophyta; Magnoliopsida; Solanales; Solanaceae. The record is from Rfam by way of RNAcentral.